This 1394-nucleotide ribosomal RNA is filed under the name marine metagenome. Its description in RNAcentral is "bacterial SSU rRNA". It matches the Rfam family "Bacterial small subunit ribosomal RNA". The record is from RNAcentral.
UGAGUUUGAUCCUGGCUCAGAGCGAACGCUAGCAAUAUAUAUAACACAUGCUAGUUAGUAUUUAAUAAAAUACAGCGUACAGGUGAGUACAUAUAAGAAUUUACCCAAUAAAACUAGUAUUAAAACUUAUCUUAGGUUGAUCUAAGUUAACUGUAUAAGGAGUUAAUAUAAUAAAAGGUUUAACACCGCUAUUGGAUAAGCUUAUAUAAAAUUAGGUUGUUGGUAGAGUAAAAGCCUACCAAGCCGAUGAUUUUUAGUUGAUUUGAGAAAAUGAAUAAUCACACUAGGACUGAGAUAAGACCUAGGCUUGCCAGCAGUGGGGAAUAUUGGACAAUUAGCGAAAGCUUGAUCCAGUAAUAUUGCAUAAAUGAUGAGUAGCACAAAAGAGUUUUCAUUAAUUUGGGAAUUCGGUUGUAAAGUUUAAUUUAAUUUUUUAUAAAGAUUAUGACGUUAAAAUUAAAUAAGCCCCGGCUAACUUCGUGCCAGCAGCCGCGGUAAUACGAAGGGGGCGAGCGUUGUUUGGAAUGAUUGGGCGUAUAGCGUUCGUAGACUGAAUUUUUUGAUUACAUGUGAAAUAUUAUAUUUAUAUAUAACUAAUGCAGUAAUACUUUAAUACUAGAGUGUAAUAGAGGAUAAUAGAAUUUUAAAUUAAGGAGUGGAAUCUUAAGAUAUUUAAAGGAAUGCCAAUGGCGAAGGCUAUUAUCUGGGUUAUAACUGACGUUGAGGAACGAAGGCGUAGGGAGCAAACAGGAUUUGAUACCCUGGUAGUCUACGCAGUCAAAACUGAGUGCUAAUAUAAAGAGACAUAUUUUUAUAUAAAGUUUACACGUGAAGCACUCCGCCUGGGGAGUACAAUUUCACAAUUGAAACCCAAAGGAAUUGACGGGAGUCUACACAAGUGGUGGAGCAUGUGGUUUAAUGCGAAAGUACACGCAGAAUCUUACCAGUCUUUGCAUAAUUUUUAAAAAUUUUAUAGAGAUAUAAAUUUAUUUACUUUAUUGAAACGUAUAAAGAUAAAAAAAAAUUACAGGUGUUGCAUGGCUGUCGUCAGCUCGUGUUGUGAAAUGUUAGGUUAAUUCCUAGAUACGAGUGUAACUCUUAGUUUAUAAUUAAAAAAAAGCAUUUUUUAUAUAAACAACACCGUGAUGAUAGAAAAUUCGAUGAAGAAGAGAAAGAUGUCAAGUCCUUAUGGCCCUAAUAGACUGGGCUACACACGUGCUACAAUGGUAUUAACAAAGAGUUGUACAAUAAAGAAAUUUAAUGUUAAUCUUUAAAAUUUAUCACAAUCGGAUUAUAAACUGAAAUUCGUUUAUAUGAAGCAGGAAUCACCAGUAAUCGUAGAUUAGCAUGCUACGGUGAAUAUGUGCUUAGAUUUUGCACACACCGCCCGUCAC